Molecule: ribosomal RNA, 253 nt
Filed under: uncultured bacterium
Lineage: Bacteria
Description: partial 16S ribosomal RNA
Rfam family: Bacterial small subunit ribosomal RNA
Source: RNAcentral
UACGUAGGUGGCAAGCGUUGUCCGGAAUUAUUGGGCGUAAAGCGCGCGCAGGCGGUCCUUUAAGUCUGAUGUGAAAGCCCACGGCUCAACCGUGGAGGGUCAUUGGAAACUGGGGGACUUGAGUGCAGGAGAGAAGAGUGGAAUUCCACGUGUAGCGGUGAAAUGCGUAGAGAUGUGGAGGAACACCAGUGGCGAAGGCGGCACUCUGGGACGGUACUGACGCUGAGACGCGAAAGCGUGGGGAGCAAACAGG